UAUGCCAUCUUACAGAUUGCAUAAAAAUUGUUAUAAUAUGAUGAUUUUGUACGAUAGAAAUGGAAAACGUAAUUGGGUCACAGAUGUUAAACAUUUACUAUUUUCUACUGGUUUCGGUAAUAUAUACUGCCUAG
This is a long non-coding RNA of Haliotis rubra (blacklip abalone), 134 nucleotides long. RefSeq lists it as uncharacterized. Lineage: Eukaryota; Metazoa; Mollusca; Gastropoda; Lepetellida; Haliotidae. The transcript is spliced from 3 exons. The record is from RefSeq and is a predicted model, not a curated record.